Molecule: ribosomal RNA, 253 nt
Filed under: uncultured bacterium
Lineage: Bacteria
Description: partial 16S ribosomal RNA
Rfam family: Bacterial small subunit ribosomal RNA
Source: RNAcentral
UACGGAGGGUGCAAGCGUUAUCCGGAUUUACUGGGUUUAAAGGGUGUGUAGGCGGACUUUUAAGUCAGCGGUGAAAUCUCCGGGCUCAACCCGGAAACUGCCAUUGAUACUAUUGGUCUUGAAUGUUGUUGAGGUGGGCGGAACGGGUCAUGUAGCGGUGAAAUGCAUAGAUAUGAUGUAGAACACCGAUUGCGAAGGCAGCUUACUAAACAAUCAUUGACGCUGAGGCACGAAAGCGUGGGGAUCAAACAGG